RNAcentral lists this ribosomal RNA (575 nucleotides) under uncultured organism. RNAcentral's name for it is "bacterial SSU rRNA". It matches the Rfam family "Bacterial small subunit ribosomal RNA", at positions 835 to 1426 of the family's 1533-position model. The record is from RNAcentral.
UGGGAUGGCUGUCGUAAGUUAACGCGUUAAGUAUCCCGCCUGGGGAGUACGACCGCAAGGUUAAAACUCAAAGGAAUUGACGGGGGAGCGCACAAUCGGUGGAUCAUGUGGUUUAAUUCGAUACAAACCGAAGAACCUUACCCAGACUUGACAUAUACCUGCACGCUUUGUGAAAGCAGAGUUCCUUCGAGGGUGGUAUACAGGUGCUGCAUGGUUGUCGUCAGCUCGUGUCGUGAGAUGUCCGCUUAAGUGCGGUAACGAGCGCAACCCCUGCCGUAUGUUACAUAUCAUGCGGGACUGCCGUGCAACAAGCGCGGAGGAAGGAGGGGAUGAUGUCAAAUCAGCAUGGCCCUUACGUCUGGGGCUACACACAUGAUACAAUGGGAUGGACAACAGGUUGCGACGGGGUAACCCUGAGCUAAUCCUUAAACCAUUCCUCAGUUCGGAUUGCAGGCUGCAACUCGCCUGCAUGAAGUCGGAAUCGAUAGUAAUCGCGUGUCAGCAUAGCGCGGUGAUACGUUCUCGCUCCUUGUACACACUGCCCGUCAAGCCAGCGAAGCCGGUAAUGCCCGAAG